UUUACUCCAUGUUGAUUUUCCAUCAUCCAAUGAAGAGUUUUAAUGCUUUUGAAGACUCCAAUCCUGUUCAUAAAUGAUUAGAUUUAUUGAUGUCCUUCAACUUCAAAGUCAAACCAUUAUUGUUGACUAGAAUUGAUAAAAGAGUGUAGUCUUAAACCAGCCAUGCAUUUGCACGAAUUUUAGGCCAUAUUAUGGGCCAAAAUGAUUGUCUUGAUCAGUCCAAUAUGAUCCAUUAUCCCUUAUUGGCCAAUGAUCUGAAAUGGUCAUUAAAUUCAUAAUUCUGGACUUCGCAUUGUGGGCUUUGGAGCAUUCUAGUGAAAGACUUGUGCUAAUCAAAUUCUUCAAGGCUUCUUGAAUUUUCUUUCUUCUUGAAUUUGUCAUUGGACCAGCAUUGUUGAUCAAAUUAUCAUCUUCACAAACUUGAGCUUCCUGAUUAGCGACAUUUGAGCUUUUGUGCAUUUGAUCGCUAUCAAGCUCAAUGGUGCACAAU
Molecule: long non-coding RNA, 490 nt
Filed under: Carica papaya (papaya)
Lineage: Eukaryota; Viridiplantae; Streptophyta; Magnoliopsida; Brassicales; Caricaceae
Description: long non-coding RNA (CPAP_LNC014195)
Source: RNAcentral